RNAcentral lists this ribosomal RNA (461 nucleotides) under uncultured bacterium. RNAcentral describes it as "bacterial SSU rRNA". It matches the Rfam family "Bacterial small subunit ribosomal RNA", at positions 338 to 795 of the family's 1533-position model. The record is from RNAcentral.
CCUANGGGUGGCAGCAGUAAGGAAUAUUGGACAAUGGUCGGAAGACUGAUCCAGCCAUGCCGCGUGAAGGACGAAGGCGCUCAGCGUUGUAAACUUCUUUUGGAUGGGGAUAAUAAUUCCGAUUUAUCGGGACUUGAAGGUACCAUCAGAAUAAGCACCGGCUAACUCCGUGCCAGCAGCCGCGGUAAUACGGAGGGUGCGAGCGUUAUCCGGAAUCACUGGGUUUAAAGGGUGCGUAGGCGGCGAGGUAAGUCAGUUGUGAAAUUCCCCGGCUCAACCGGGUGGACUGCGAUUGAUACUGCUUUGCUUGAAACAGGUUGAGGUAAGCGGAAUGUGGCAUGUAGCGGUGAAAUGCAUAGAUAUGCCAUAGAACACCGAUUGCGAAGGCAGCUUGCUGGGCCUGCUUUGACGCCGAGGCACGAAAGCGUGGGGAGCAAACAGGAUUAGAUACCCCANUANUC